Molecule: ribosomal RNA, 479 nt
Filed under: uncultured bacterium
Lineage: Bacteria
Description: bacterial SSU rRNA
Rfam family: Bacterial small subunit ribosomal RNA
Source: RNAcentral
AGUGAAUAGAUACCCUGGUAGUCCUUGCUGUAAACUAUGUAUACUUGAUGUAGUUGGACUCAAACCCCGACUGUGUCGAAAGCUAACGCGAUAAGUAUACCGCCUGGGAAGUACACUCGCAAGGGUGAAACUCAAAAGAAUUGACGGGGACCCGCACAAGCAGUGGAGCAUGUGGUUUAAUUCGAUGCAACGCGAAGAACCUUACCUGGGUUCGAAAUGUAUAUGACAUCGUAAGAGAUUACGANGUUUCCGCAAGGGACAUAUAUAUAGGUGCUGCAUGGCUGUCGUCAGCUCGUGCCGUGAGGUGUUUGGUUAAGUCCAGCAACGAGCGCAACCCUUGUUGUUAGUUGCCAGCGAGUCAAGUCGGGCACUCUAACGAGACUGCCUGGGUUAACCAGGAGGAAGGUGAGGAUGACGUCAAGUCCGCAUGGCCUUUAUGCCCAGGGCUACACACGUGCUACAAUGGUCGGUACAGAGGU